Molecule: unclassified non-coding RNA, 289 nt
Filed under: uncultured fungus
Lineage: Eukaryota; Fungi
Description: sequence contains 5.8S rRNA gene
Rfam family: 5.8S ribosomal RNA (bases 1-53)
Source: RNAcentral
GAACGCAUCUUGCGCUCCUUGGUAUUCCAUGGAGCAUGCCUGUUUGAGUGUCACGUAAACCCUCACCCUUGCGAUGUAAAAAUUGCACGUGGUGGAUUUGGACUGUGCCGUAAUUGGCUCGUCCUGAAAUGCAUUAGCUUGCGCUUUUUAGAGUGCUCGGCAUGGUGUGAUAAUUAUCUGCGCCGUCGCCUUAGGCCUCUUCUGUUGGUGCUGCUUCUAAUCGUCCCUCGAGGACACUUUACUUUAUGCUUUGGCCUCAAAUCAGGUAGGACUACCCGCUGAACUUAAG